Molecule: long non-coding RNA, 727 nt
Filed under: Oryza sativa (Asian cultivated rice)
Lineage: Eukaryota; Viridiplantae; Streptophyta; Magnoliopsida; Poales; Poaceae
Description: long non-coding RNA (OSAT_LNC001614)
Source: RNAcentral
UUCAAGACAAAUCUAUACAUAUAAUUUUUAUAUUUUCAAACUCAAUAAUUUGGGAGUUAUUCAUGAUUUAUAUUCCUAAGGUUUGACUUAAACAUUGUCCUAAACGACUUCCUUUAUGAGUAUGGAGUGAGUACAUAAGAUUGGUUGCGAAGCACCCCGCCUACUAGCAUAGAAGAGGACCCCGAAAAGUUGGCCCUAAUUGAACAAGGUAACAAAAUAAAGAUUACAUGCUUUUGUUUGGAUCAUGUUUCAGAACUGGUUGCAAAAAAAGAUUGUUGUACUUCCAAGCCCCCCCAUGGCUCCUGCGUCCAAGCCUAGUUCUCCUAAUCCCUAAAAAUCUUGUACGUAUCAGGAUUCAGGAGAUAUCAUUUUACUAGCAAUAGGAGGUGGAACAUAGUUUUUCUAAUCUUGAUUAAUUUCUUUGGUUUUCAGCUUUGGAUGUGAGCUGUGGUAUGCUGAAUUUGGUGGGCAGCUGAUUGCGCAGUCAACUAAUCAAGUCUACUUUUGGCCAAUACUUAAGCUGGGGUUUCUUGUAACCCAGUUUUGCUGUAACUUCGGCGUUCAAAAAAAAAAGUUUUGCUGUAACGUUGCUGGUCUGCUGCACAUGUAUUGCAGUAUGAACUAUUGAUAUUCAUGUUGGACGUUUGUUGUUGCUUGUCAGACAGAUGAUUAUUGUGUGGUUUUAGAAACAUCAUUACUUCAAUAUAGUAUUAUCUAGUACUCCAAA